GAAAAUUUGCUUCUUUUAUGGUGAGGAAAGUAAAUACAAUUGUAGAAAAUGGGAUUAGUUGGUUGAAAGGGUGCUUAUGAUUUAUUUUUUUCAUGGAAAUAUUGCCCCAUAAAACAUUCUCCUAUUUCUAGGUUGCCUAUGUAAAUUGUUCAAAGUAGAGUGUUUUCUUGCUCAAAAGAAAAAACCAAUUUGUUUACAGGGAACAUGGCCAACUCUUAUUCAAAACAAACUGAAUUCUGUUCAUGUUAUUGUGUGCAGAACAUAAAAUAAACUCAAUUGAAUGUGCUGUUAUUUGUAGAUUCUGAAUUAAUUUUAUUAAGACUUUUAUAUUUAAGGGAAAAUUACUCUUUAGUCACUGUAUGUAUUUUAAAAAAAAUACUAUUUAGUCCA
This 390-nucleotide unclassified non-coding RNA is filed under the name Hevea brasiliensis (rubber tree). The record is from RNAcentral. Lineage: Eukaryota; Viridiplantae; Streptophyta; Magnoliopsida; Malpighiales; Euphorbiaceae.